ACGUGGGUGAUCUGCCCUGCACUCUGGGAUAAGCUUGGGAAACUGGGUCUAAUACCGGAUAUGACCACAGCAUGCAUGUGUUGUGGUGGAAAGAUUUAUCGGUGCAGGAUGGGCCCGCGGCCUAUCAGCUUGUUGGUGGGGUAAUGGCCUACCAAGGCGACGACGGGUAGCCGACCUGAGAGGGUGACCGGCCACACUGGGACUGAGACACGGCCCAGACUCCUACGGGAGGCAGCAGUGGGGAAUAUUGCACAAUGGGCGGAAGCCUGAUGCAGCGACGCCGCGUGAGGGAUGAAGGCCUUCGGGUUGUAAACCUCUUUCAGCAGGGACGAAGCGUGAGUGACGGUACCUGCAGAAGAAGCACCGGCUAACUACGUGCCAGCAGCCGCGGUAAUACGUAGGGUGCGAGCGUUGUCCGGAAUUACUGGGCGUAAAGAGUUCGUAGGCGGUUUGUCGCGUCGUUUGUGAAAACCCGGGGCUCAACUUCGGGCUUGCAGGCGAUACGGGCAGACUUGAGUGUUUCAGGGGAGACUGGAAUUCCUGGUGUAGCGGUGAAAUGCGCAGAUAUCAGGAGGAACACCGGUGGCGAAGGCGGGUCUCUGGGAAACAACUGACGCUGAGGAACGAAAGCGUGGGUAGCAAACAGGAUUAGAUACCCUGGUAGUCCACGCCGUAAACGGUGGGCGCUAGGUGUGGGUUCCUUCCACGGGAUCUGUGCCGUAGCUAACGCAUUAAGCGCCCCGCCUGGGGAGUACGGCCGCAAGGCUAAAACUCAAAGGAAUUGACGGGGCCCCGCACAAGCGGCGGAGCAUGUGUAUUAAUUCGAUGCAACGCGAAGAACCUUACCUGGGUUUGACAUACACCGGAAAACCGUAGAGAUACGGUCCCCCUUGUGGUCGGUGUACAGGUGGUGCAUGGCUUGUCGUCAGCUCGUGUCCUGGAGAUUGUUGGGUUAAGUCCCGCAACGAGCGCAACCCUUGUCUUAUGUUGCCAGCACGUAAUGGUGGGGACUCGUAAGAGACUGCCCGGGGUCAACUCGAAG
Molecule: ribosomal RNA, 1042 nt
Filed under: Rhodococcus sp. I14
Lineage: Bacteria; Bacillati; Actinomycetota; Actinomycetes; Mycobacteriales; Nocardiaceae
Description: bacterial SSU rRNA
Rfam family: Bacterial small subunit ribosomal RNA
Source: RNAcentral